Dreissena polymorpha is the source of this 674-nucleotide long non-coding RNA. RefSeq lists it as uncharacterized. Lineage: Eukaryota; Metazoa; Mollusca; Bivalvia; Myida; Dreissenidae. The record is from RefSeq and is a predicted model, not a curated record. The transcript is spliced from 3 exons.
AUUGGGUAAAAUGGUGGGUCAAACGUCCAUUUUACGGCCGUAUUGUUGGGUCUUUAGUCGAUUGUCGGGUCCCAAAGUCGAUUAUCGGGCACUUGGACCCGACAGUUGAAGACCCACUUAAAAAAAGGCUGCUUAACAUACUCAUGACUAUUUUUAAAUUCAAAUUUGCAUGUGUAAUUUUACUCGAAUUGUCGGGCCUAUAUCUCCCAUUAGCACACAUUAGGUCAAACUCCACACAGCAGUUACUUCCCUUGGGCAUUCGCCAAUCAUUAAUGUCUUUUUCUAGAAUAAGGGAGGCCACUGCGUAUGAGAUUGACCAACCUCGGCGCAGUGAUUUACCGGGAACCAGCAUAGCAACGAACGACAACUCGGCGCCCGACAACUCUGUAAUAAAAAUUGCCAAUUUUCGCGGUUAAACUUAAAAAGAGUCCAUGUCAACUGCUGACAGUGAAGAGCCAGGCAGUCUGACCCAUGAUAGGAGGGAGCCAAGUGAAGAGCCAGCCAGUCUGACCCAUGAUAGGAGGGAGCCAAGUGAAGAGCCAGCCAGUCUGACCCAUGAUUCUUGACAUGACUCAUGGUGAACUAAAAUUGCUUGCAAAGCAUCUGGGACAUGAUGUGAAGACCCACAAGGAAUAUUAUCAGUUGUCUUCCAGUACCAUGGAACUCUCAAAGGU